CACUGUUAACUUGACAGUAGCAAAGAUUCAUUUUUAGUGUAUCAUUCAUCCAUUGGUAUAGAGAUAGAGAGAGAACAAGAAAAGGAAGAUUAUAAACUUGGUGCGUGGGUUGGGUCUUCGUAGUACGUUUAAAGAGUGAGGGGUUUAUGAGCGUGGUGGCUACGUGGGUUUAUUUAACUUAGCCAUGGUAAAAUUUGACCGUGUGUCAUGGUUUACAAUAACCGUAACGACUCGGAUAAAGUUUCAAAGCGAGAGGUGAUGACCAGACAGGCUGGACGGAAGGACGAAUGGACCUCUUGGUCACCGUAUAAAUGGUUUUAUGAAAUAUCGGUUCACUGCUUAACCGGAAAUCGAUCAUUUGGUUUAAUCAAAUUGUUUACCGGGUUGAAAACUUUGUCCAGUUUCUUUUUUUUACUUCCGAGUCAUCAUUUUUUCUUUUUGAAAGAAUUUUAAAUUUUAUUCACU
RNAcentral lists this long non-coding RNA (465 nucleotides) under Brassica napus (rape). RNAcentral describes it as "long non-coding RNA (BNAP_LNC017216)". The record is from RNAcentral. Lineage: Eukaryota; Viridiplantae; Streptophyta; Magnoliopsida; Brassicales; Brassicaceae.